AGGACAUAUCUUCAUCUCUACCCCUAGAGAGUUUUGAACGGAAGAGAACUCUGCAGCCAUAAGGCCGCUCUUGGUACCUUACGAUACUUUUUUAUAAUAUGUCACGAGUAGUAACAGAAAGCUACUGUAACGGUCAACGGCCUCAGGUGGCGUCCCUUUCCUCAGCGCCACCACGCCCAUUAGAGCGACGGGGCUAAACGUUUGCAAUAUCACUGAGUGACGUCGCCCGAGCUGAUAAACUGCGCACACGACAAGAUCACGGCAAAUUACGUACGUUCAGAUUGGGGCCAAUCAAUGUGUUAGCCUGUUUAUUGUAAACAUCGCUCAAUACACGUUCUAUCAUCA
Molecule: long non-coding RNA, 345 nt
Organism: Melitaea cinxia (Glanville fritillary)
Lineage: Eukaryota; Metazoa; Arthropoda; Insecta; Lepidoptera; Nymphalidae
Exons: 2
Source: RefSeq, a predicted model, not a curated record